AAUAAAAUGCCUGAAAAAAGGGUUACUUUGAUAGAGUAAAUCAUGUAUUAUACAUACUUUUAUUA
This 65-nucleotide transfer RNA is filed under the name Brevicoryne brassicae (cabbage aphid). Its description in RNAcentral is "tRNA-Ile". Lineage: Eukaryota; Metazoa; Arthropoda; Insecta; Hemiptera; Aphididae. RNAcentral also lists the same sequence under 1 other name. The record is from RNAcentral.